Molecule: small nuclear RNA, 40 nt
Filed under: Cervus elaphus hippelaphus
Lineage: Eukaryota; Metazoa; Chordata; Mammalia; Artiodactyla; Cervidae
Rfam family: U2 spliceosomal RNA
About the family: U2 is a small nuclear RNA (snRNA) component of the spliceosome (involved in pre-mRNA splicing). Complementary binding between U2 snRNA (in an area lying towards the 5' end but 3' to hairpin I) and the branchpoint sequence (BPS) of the intron results the bulging out of an unpaired adenosine, on the BPS, which initiates a nucleophilic attack at the intronic 5' splice site, thus starting the first of two transesterification reactions that mediate splicing.
Source: RNAcentral
AUCAUUUCUCUGCCUUUUGGCUAAGAUCAAGUGUAGUACC